UCGAGUGGCGAACGGGUGAGUAACACGUGGGCAAUCUGCCCUGCACUUCGGGAUAAGCCUGGGAAACUGGGUCUAAUACCGGAUAGGACCUUUAGGCGCAUGUCUUUAGGUGGAAAGCUUUUGCGGUGUGGGAUGGGCCCGCGGCCUAUCAGCUUGUUGGUGGGGUGAUGGCCUACCAAGGCGACGACGGGUAGCCGGCCUGAGAGGGUGUCCGGCCACACUGGGACUGAGAUACGGCCCAGACUCCUACGGGAGGCAGCAGUGGGGAAUAUUGCACAAUGGGCGCAAGCCUGAUGCAGCGACGCCGCGUGGGGGAUGACGGCCUUCGGGUUGUAAACCUCUUUCACCAUCGACGAAGGUCCGGGUUUUCUCGGAUUGACGGUAGGUGGAGAAGAAGCACCGGCCAACUACG
RNAcentral lists this ribosomal RNA (412 nucleotides) under Mycobacterium intracellulare. RNAcentral describes it as "bacterial SSU rRNA". It matches the Rfam family "Bacterial small subunit ribosomal RNA", at positions 91 to 505 of the family's 1533-position model. The record is from RNAcentral. Lineage: Bacteria; Bacillati; Actinomycetota; Actinomycetes; Mycobacteriales; Mycobacteriaceae.